Hibiscus syriacus is the source of this 149-nucleotide small nuclear RNA. RefSeq annotates it as U4 spliceosomal RNA. The transcript has a single exon. Lineage: Eukaryota; Viridiplantae; Streptophyta; Magnoliopsida; Malvales; Malvaceae. The record is from RefSeq and is a predicted model, not a curated record.
AGCUUUGUGCUGGGCGCAAUGGCGCAGCUCAUGAGGUUCUAACCGAUGCGCGUCAAUUGUUAGUUGAAAACUAUUUUUAAUUGAGCUUGAAUCGAGCUCAAAAUUGAGCUUGAAUCGAGCUUGAAAUUUAGCUUAGUUUCGAGUUUUAA